RNAcentral lists this ribosomal RNA (682 nucleotides) under Micrococcus sp. MMRF648. RNAcentral's name for it is "bacterial SSU rRNA". It matches the Rfam family "Bacterial small subunit ribosomal RNA", at positions 339 to 1031 of the family's 1533-position model. The record is from RNAcentral. Lineage: Bacteria; Bacillati; Actinomycetota; Actinomycetes; Micrococcales; Micrococcaceae.
CUACGGGAGGCAGCAGUGGGGAAUAUUGCACAAUGGGCGCAAGCCUGAUGCAGCGACGCCGCGUGAGGGAUGACGGCCUUCGGGUUGUAAACCUCUUUCAGUAGGGAAGAAGCGAAAGUGACGGUACCUGCAGAAGAAGCACCGGCUAACUACGUGCCAGCAGCCGCGGUAAUACGUAGGGUGCGAGCGUUAUCCGGAAUUAUUGGGCGUAAAGAGCUCGUAGGCGGUUUGUCGCGUCUGUCGUGAAAGUCCGGGGCUUAACCCCGGAUCUGCGGUGGGUACGGGCAGACUAGAGUGCAGUAGGGGAGACUGGAAUUCCUGGUGUAGCGGUGGAAUGCGCAGAUAUCAGGAGGAACACCGAUGGCGAAGGCAGGUCUCUGGGCUGUAACUGACGCUGAGGAGCGAAAGCAUGGGGAGCGAACAGGAUUAGAUACCCUGGUAGUCCAUGCCGUAAACGUUGGGCACUAGGUGUGGGGACCAUUCCACGGUUUCCGCGCCGCAGCUAACGCAUUAAGUGCCCCGCCUGGGGAGUACGGCCGCAAGGCUAAAACUCAAAGGAAUUGACGGGGGCCCGCACAAGCGGCGGAGCAUGCGGAUUAAUUCGAUGCAACGCGAAGAACCUUACCAAGGCUUGACAUGUUCUCGAUCGCCGUAGAGAUACGGUUUCCCCUUUGGGGCGGGU